Lagopus muta (rock ptarmigan) is the source of this 2621-nucleotide long non-coding RNA. RefSeq lists it as uncharacterized. NCBI's taxonomy places the organism in Eukaryota, Metazoa, Chordata, Aves, Galliformes, Phasianidae. The transcript is spliced from 7 exons. The record is from RefSeq and is a predicted model, not a curated record.
AAUGACUGAGUCAGCUGUGGGAGCACAGGUGAAUGCAAGACCAAGAGCCUACUUAAGGGCUGAUUGCAAGGGGGGAACUAUCUGUUUCUGGAGAUUCCUCCACUGUGGAGCCUUUCCUGCAAAUCUAGAUCUUCAGAUACAAACCACCAACAUGAUUUUGAUGGAUGUCCUGGUGCCUUUUGCAGUCUUUUUUUCUCUCAAGAAGAACCCUAGAUGAUUCAACAUCAACAGCAAAGCCUGAGAGUCUCACAUGGGAGAGUUGAGAGAAGGAGAAGAAACUCAUCAAAUAAAGUUUUGGAUCUCAAAUCGUAAAGAAAGUUUGAAGAGUUGAACCUUAAAAGUUCAUGAAAACAAAGAAAGUAGUGUCUCUAAAUUGGCAAAGAAGUCAUCUGUCCUGCAGAAGGGCUCUUUCUGAGUCUUUCAGGAAAGAUAAUAUAGAAAAAAGAAAAGUGUCUAUUUGUGAAUCUGCCACCAAAGAAAAACAGCAUGCUAAUGAAUACCAAGGAAAUAAUUAAUGAGUAUUGUGAUCGAACAGUAUAGUAUUCAGUUUUUGAAAAGCUGAACAAACAAGAGAGUAGGAAAACACAAGCAUUUAGGCUCAUCAGAUAACAAGAAAGAGACUGAACCGACCUGUCAACUUUUGGCUUUUGUUGUCUACCUCUCUGCUUACUCAAUGCUACUAUUCACUGUAUACUUUAAACUAUUUGUAAAUCCCAGGUUUCCAUGUAUCACCAAUUUCUCCUGGAAAAAAGUAGUGUGGUGUCUAAUACAUAUAAUAAUUUUUGUGGGUCCAGACUAUGGUUACAAAGGCCUAAAUCUGGUUUGUCUCCCAUUUUACACUGAAGUGGUUGCUUUGAAUUAUUUCCAUCCGUGUUCAUCAAGGGAGAGUCAAAGCAAUUCAAAUAUAUCAUAGUUCAAAAUAAGUUGAAGUUUAGUUUGAUUAAUUUUGCUGUUGAAAUUUUUCAUUCUACAAGUUGAGUAUUGAAUUCUUAGGUCCUUAAUUCAUAGUAUGUCUAGGUUUUCUUUCCACUUCUUGUCUGUUAUUUUUUAUGAGGAAUGUGAAUCUAAAGAAAAAAAUUAUUAAUUGUAUUCUAGAGGCAUUCUAUGAGCGUCAUCAGCUCAUUUUUACAUAGAAAUCAAGUUUAAGGACGUAUUUUUCCUCAUUAUUCUGCGUAGUUUAAAUCAGUGAUUGUUGUUAUUGGUGCCAUCGUUAUUAUUUCACAGUAAAUAUCAUAUUUGACACCAUAUAAAAGGUCAAUGACUUCAUUUCCUCUACAAUGAGACUCCAAGUGCCUCCAUAAUUUUCCUUCAAAUCAAAGUAGGUGCCAAUUUAAAACCUCCAUGCUCUGCAGAUCAUUCUAAAACAUUAAUCCUUACGUUUCAGAAGAAAAUACUGUUUAUGUCUGUGAUGUCUUGACAGUGACUUUAAAUGGCAAAACGCUAAAAUGCCUUUGUAUUUCUAGUUUACCUUCAAUAAAAAGUCAGAUUUGAAUGAGAUACCUAUUCGAAUGCUCAGAGAGUGAAACAAACUGACCUCUCAAAAACAAACGAAUAAAGUUUUUUAUUCGAGUCCUUUUUGCUCGGAUAUUGAGUGGAUAAUAAAUUAAAACCAUUAAAAAAAAAUACUUCAGGACUAAUCUGAGAGUAAACGAUGAGGUUAAAUAUAGCUUUCUAGCAAAGGUUUUCAGACAAAUAAAAUAUUCAUUCAUAUUUGACAGAGCCAAAACAAUUCUGUAAAAGUAAAGGAAAAAAAAAAAAAAAAACGAAAAACAAACAACAACAAUGAAAAAAACCUUGAAUUACUGAAUACUGCUAAUACUGUCAGACUUGAAAUCUGCUUGAGACAGUUUGAGAUGCCCAAACAGCCUUUCUGCAUUCAGAGUAGAACUGGGAGAAAUCCAACUAAGUCCAUCUCACUCUGAUCACUGAGGGCCAUUAGAGGAUUCUGGUUACACAUCUCUUGUGGGACAUUGCGUGCUUGGUAAGAGGUAACUAUGAUGUUGAUUACAGUUCACUUUGGUGUUUCAAGGAUAUUGCUGCUUCAUCUUGACACUUCUGCAAAAUACUGUUUCCUUCUCAUUUUUAAUGUCAACAGCAAAACUAGAAAACUCAAUACUAUCUAUUUGUAACAAAAGCAAGCAAGCACUUACCCAUUCUGCAAUACUGUGAAUAAUACAGCUAGUGGGAGAAAUAAUUAUUCUUGAUGCACACUGGUACUCCAUUUUUUGAUGUCCAGUAGAAGAAUUUUAAUAUAUUAGGAAAAUUUAUUUCUAUUCGCAUUUUUUUCCCCUCUACAAUGUAUCCCUUGUAGGCCUGUAAAAUUCAGAGAGCUCAUAUCGUAGAAGGGUGGAGGAGAUGCAACCAUUUUGUUAAAAACAUUUGGAGUAGUGUUGGAAAGGGAAGAAAAUGAAGAUGAAUACAGUAUUUGCGAUGUGUGAUAGAUGCUGGAGUUCACAGCAAUGAGCCUUUCUGAAAUUCCUCAGAUUUCCCAAACAUUUUUGGGCUAGGUUUUAGAAAUAAAAUCUUCCAUAAUACUUGGACUGUGCAUUGGCAUGUCCACAUGUUCUAAUUUCAAGCUAUUUUGCUUUUAAUGAUUGAAGUUCCUGUUCUUUGUGUUAUUU